Molecule: ribosomal RNA, 416 nt
Filed under: uncultured bacterium
Lineage: Bacteria
Description: bacterial SSU rRNA
Rfam family: Bacterial small subunit ribosomal RNA
Source: RNAcentral
UGGGGAAUCUUAGACAAUGGGCGCAAGCCUGAUCUAGCGAUGCCGCGUGAGUGAUGAAGGCCUUAGGGUCGUAAAGCUCUUUCGCCUGUGAAGAUAAUGACGGUAGCAGGUAAAGAAACCCCCGGCUAACUCCGUGCCAGCAGCCGCGGUAAUACGGAGGGGGUUAGCGUUGUUCGGAAUUACUGGGCGUAAAGCGCACGUAGGCGGACUAGUCAGUCAGAGGUGAAAUCCCAGGGCUCAACCCUGGGACUGCCUUUGAUACUGCUAGUCUUGAGUUCGAGAGAGGUAAGUGGAAUUCCGAGUGUAGAGGUGAAAUUCGUAGAUAUUCGGAGGAACACCAGUGGCGAAGGCGGCUUACUGGCUCGAUACUGACGCUGAGGUGCGAAAGUGUGGGGAGCAAAACAGGAUUAGAUACC